RNAcentral lists this ribosomal RNA (427 nucleotides) under uncultured bacterium. RNAcentral describes it as "partial 16S ribosomal RNA". It matches the Rfam family "Bacterial small subunit ribosomal RNA", at positions 355 to 774 of the family's 1533-position model. The record is from RNAcentral.
UGGGGAAUAUUGCACAAUGGGCGCAAGCCUGAUGCAGCCAUGCCGCGUGUAUGAAGAAGGCCUUCGGGUUGUAAAGUACUUUCAGCGGGGAGGAAGGCGAUAAGGUUAAUAACCUUGUCGAUUGACGUUACCCGCAGAAGAAGCACCGGCUAACUCCGUGCCAGCAGCCGCGGUAAUACGGAGGGUGCAAGCGUUAAUCGGAAUUACUGGGCGUAAAGCACACGCAGGCGGUCUGUCAAGUCGGAUGUGAAAUCCCCGGGCUCAACCUGGGAACUGCAUUCGAAACUGGCAGGCUAGAGUCUUGUAGAGGGGGGUAGAAUUCCAGGUGUAGCGGUGAAAUGCGUAGAGAUCUGGAGGAAUACCGGUGGCGAAGGCGGCCCCCUGGACAAAGACUGACGCUCAGGUGCGAAAGCGUGGGGAGCAAACA